AGAGUUUGAUCCUGGCUCAGAUUGAACGCUGGCGGCAUGCCUUACACAUGCAAGUCGAACGGCAGCACGGGCUUCGGCCUGGUGGCGAGUGGCGAACGGGUGAGUAAUGCGUCGGAACGCGCCGAGUAGUGGGGGAUAACGCAGCGAAAGCUGUGCUAAUACCGCAUACGUACUGAGGUAGAAAGUGGGGGACCUUCGGGCCUCACGCUAUUCGAGCGGCCGACGUCUGAUUAGCUAGUUGGUGGGGUAAAGGCUCACCAAGGCGACGAUCAGUAGCGGGUCUGAGAGGAUGAUCCGCCACACUGGGACUGAGACACGGCCCAGACUCCUACGGGAGGCAGCAGUGGGGAAUUUUGGACAAUGGGCGCAAGCCUGAUCCAGCCAUGCCGCGUGUCUGAAGAAGGCCUUCGGGUUGUAAAGGACUUUUGUCCGGGAGCAAAGCCUACUUGUUA
This 452-nucleotide ribosomal RNA is filed under the name uncultured bacterium. RNAcentral's name for it is "bacterial SSU rRNA". It matches the Rfam family "Bacterial small subunit ribosomal RNA", at positions 8 to 462 of the family's 1533-position model. The record is from RNAcentral.